AGCGGUAGAGAGAAGCUUGCUUCUCUUGAGAGCGGCGGACGGGUGAGUAAUGCCUAGGAAUCUGCCUGGUAGUGGGGGAUAACGUUCGGAAACGGACGCUAAUACCGCAUACGUCCUACGGGAGAAAGCAGGGGACCUUCGGGCCUUGCGCUAUCAGAUGAGCCUAGGUCGGAUUAGCUAGUUGGUGAGGUAAUGGCUCACCAAGGCGACGAUCCGUAACUGGUCUGAGAGGAUGAUCAGUCACACUGGAACUGAGACACGGUCCAGACUCCUACGGGAGGCAGCAGUGGGGAAUAUUGGACAAUGGGCGAAAGCCUGAUCCAGCCAUGCCGCGUGUGUGAAGAAGGUCUUCGGAUUGUAAAGCACUUUAAGUUGGGAGGAAGGGUUGUAGAUUAAUACUCUGCAAUUUUGACGUUACCGACAGAAUAAGCACCGGCUAACUCUGUGCCAGCAGCCGCGGUAAUACAGAGGGUGCAAGCGUUAAUCGGAAUUACUGGGCGUAAAGCGCGCGUAGGUGGUUCGUUAAGUUGGAUGUGAAAGCCCCGGGCUCAACCUGGGAACUGCAUUCAAAACUGACGAGCUAGAGUAUGGUAGAGGGUGGUGGAAUUUCCUGUGUAGCGGUGAAAUGCGUAGAUAUAGGAAGGAACACCAGUGGCGAAGGCGACCACCUGGACUGAUACUGACACUGAGGUGCGAAAGCGUGGGGAGCAAACAGGAUUAGAUACCCUGGUAGUCCACGCCGUAAACGAUGUCAACUAGCCGUUGGAAUCCUUGAGAUUUUAGUGGCGCAGCUAACGCAUUAAGUUGACCGCCUGGGGAGUACGGCCGCAAGGUUAAAACUCAAAUGAAUUGACGGGGGCCCGCACAAGCGGUGGAGCAUGUGGUUUAAUUCGAAGCAACGCGAAGAACCUUACCAGGCCUUGACAUCCAAUGAACUUUCCAGA
Molecule: ribosomal RNA, 944 nt
Filed under: Pseudomonas sp. PV1-1
Lineage: Bacteria; Pseudomonadati; Pseudomonadota; Gammaproteobacteria; Pseudomonadales; Pseudomonadaceae
Description: bacterial SSU rRNA
Rfam family: Bacterial small subunit ribosomal RNA
Source: RNAcentral